AUUUUUUUUCCCUCCCUCUCAGUCUCUCACGCUUUCACUAUCGUGUUUUUCUCCCCAAACCCUUAAACAAUUUCUACGGUUCUACCUCUCUUCCGUCGGCUCCAUCCUCUUCGUCGUUCUCCUUCAUCCUUUUCAUCAUCUUUCUUUGAUCCAACUAAUUGGAUAUCUGCGUUUCGGAAUCGCCGAUGGGUCUUUGAAUUAGAGAUAAUAAAAAUUGGUGAAUUGUGUUUCUGAAUUGGCGAGAAGAACAAGUUGUAGGUCAGUAAUUAAACUGAUGGCCACUCCAUAUUACUCUAAAAGUCACCCUACCAUUGAAAUUCACCAAGUACAGGGACUCUGAAAAGAUGGUUUUUGAGCGUUUGCAGAAAGAAUUUGAAGUUACACUCAUCUCAAACUCAAGGUUCGAGAUGGUUCUUUAUAUCAAGGAACUGUGAUGUCAAUGGACCCAAAUGAGGGUACUUUUGUACUGCACUGUGAGGUCACUAAGGGUAAAAUCAAGCAUGUGGAUUAAGUUAAUGUUCCUGGACACUUACUUCUUCGGCCUAAGCUUGAUGAGUAUAUGCCCCAGGUAUUUGUACGAUAUCCUAACCAAGGCCAGUGUUGUAAAGAAGAGAAUUCCUUUACUAAUUGUUUGCAAUGAAACUAAGAAAGUGACAACACAUUCGAAAGAUUUUAUUCGCUAGCAACAUGGAGAAAGAUAAGUGAGACUUCAUUUCUUUUGUCUUAAAAUUUCAGAUUUGCCCCCUCCUACUAGACAGCAAUAGGAUGAAUUUAUUCAAAUUACAAAAUACUCUUGGCUGGUUUGCCGCAUUGUAAAUUAUGUCCACCAAUCACCUCAGGCAUUAGAUCAAUUUUAAACGAAUGUUUGUCGCAUUUUUCACUUUCACUAUCAUUUUAAGUUACAGACUUUUGUAAUAGAUAAGCUACAAUAGAUGUCUUAAUGAAUUCACAUGAGACAUUAUGUACUGAAAAAAGUUACUCUUUUCCCAUUAUUAAGGUUUAUCUUUUGACAUUCA
This is a long non-coding RNA of Spinacia oleracea (spinach), 1016 nucleotides long. RefSeq lists it as uncharacterized. The record is from RefSeq and is a predicted model, not a curated record. The transcript is spliced from 6 exons. NCBI's taxonomy places the organism in Eukaryota, Viridiplantae, Streptophyta, Magnoliopsida, Caryophyllales, Amaranthaceae.